RNAcentral lists this ribosomal RNA (253 nucleotides) under uncultured bacterium. RNAcentral describes it as "partial 16S ribosomal RNA". It matches the Rfam family "Bacterial small subunit ribosomal RNA", at positions 524 to 776 of the family's 1533-position model. The record is from RNAcentral.
UACGGAGGGAGCUAGCGUUGUUCGGAAUUACUGGGCGUAAAGCGCACGUAGGCGGCUUUGUAAGUUAGAGGUGAAAGCCCGGGGCUCAACCCCGGAAUUGCCUUUAAGACUGCAUCGCUUGAAUCCGGGAGAGGUGAGUGGAAUUCCGAGUGUAGAGGUGAAAUUCGUAGAUAUUCGGAAGAACACCAGUGGCGAGGGCGGCUCACUGGACCGGUAUUGACGCUGAGGUGCGAAAGCGUGGGGAGCAAACAGG